UAAGAUUUGCUACCUGGCAAGGAAGAGCACAGAACUACUGUGAAGAAGAAGAGAAAUAUGUGAAUCUGGUUAGGUCUUAGAGAAAAGGGAAGUUGUGGUAGCAAUGGAUUCUGAAUGCUGGUAGAAAAAAAAAAGAAAAUACAGGAAGAGAAGGCAGCAAUCCUUGAGGAAAGAAACAGUCAGCAAGGCCAACAGAUACAGAGAAGAAGCAAUGUAAAAAGUGCUGCAGGAUAGAAAUGGUGGAAAGGUGAGAGGGAGAAAAAAGAAGGAAGACGUACAAGGAGACCCCUGAAUCCAAAGG
Phascolarctos cinereus (koala) is the source of this 301-nucleotide long non-coding RNA. RefSeq lists it as uncharacterized. Lineage: Eukaryota; Metazoa; Chordata; Mammalia; Diprotodontia; Phascolarctidae. The record is from RefSeq and is a predicted model, not a curated record.